GUUGAACGGGAAGCAAAGAUGUCAGAACGGAAAGUUUUAAACAAAUACUACCCACCUGACUUUGACUCAUCGAAGAUCCCAAAACUUAAGCUACCCAACGACCGGCAAUAUGUGGUCCGGCUGAUGGCCCCCUUCAACAUGAGGUGUAAGACAUGUGGAGAAUACAUCUACAAGGGGAAGAAGUUCAAUGCACGGAAGGAAACAGUUCAGAACGAGACAUACCUGGGCCUGCGAAUCUUCCGAUUCUACAUCAAGUGCACGCGCUGCUUGGCUGAGAUCACCUUCAAGACAGACCCAGAGAACACAGACUACACCAUGGAGCACGGGGCCACGCGCAACUUCCAGGCUGAGAAGCUUCUGAAGGAGGAGGAGAAGCGCCUGCAGAAGGAGCGAGAGGACGAAGAACUGAACAACCCCAUUAAGGUUCUAGAGAACCGUACAAAGAUCUCUAAGCUAGAGAUGGAAGUGUUGGAAAACCUGCAAGAACUAAAAGACCUGAACGAGCGGCAGGCACACGUGGACUUCGAGGCCAUGUUGCUGCAACACCGCCUGUCUCAGGAACAGUGGCAACAGCAGCAGGAGGAGGAGGACAAGCGUGAGACCGCGGCCUUGCUGGAGGAGGCUUGCCAUCGAAGGCUUCCAGAGUCCUCUGACUCAGAGGAUGAGGCUCCACCUUCCCGACCACAGGCAGCUGCAAGACCCAACCCCACAGCCAUCCUCGACAAGGUACCAAAGACCAAGAGGAAGGCAGAGGCCCUGUGCAGCAAAUCACAGUUGGCAGGCUUGGUUGUACCAAAGAAGAUGAAGACAAAGGCCAACGGGGGCUCAGAGCAGGUCCGGGGGUCUGAGAGCAGGAAGGUGGCCAACCCUACACCCCAGACACCUGAUACUUCCUCCCUGAGCCAGCUGGGUGCAUAUGGGGACAUUGAGGACAGUGACAGCUGAGCAACAGUGAUGCCCACUGUGUCAUCAUAGAUCCAAGAAAUGAGAUGGGAUCAAGCAAACACCUUCAGCAAAGGCCUUGGGACCAUUUCUGCCAUGGGUCCUGGCAGGGUGUAGAGAAGCGAUGUCCCCAGGCACCCAGGACAGACAGACUGGUCCACUCCUUCAGUCCUUGACUUGUAUGGAGCCUGUUGGCCUGUCCCUUCCUGCCACAGAUCUGAACACUGUCUGACAUGGGACAGGGAGCAGGGACCCUGGACAUCAUCUCCCAACCAUACUCAAGGCCUAAGGCUUCACCCCCAUGCAACACAGUAGUACUGUAAAAAUCAAGAAAGAAUAGAAAAAUCA
Molecule: RNA transcript, 1290 nt
Organism: Grammomys surdaster
Lineage: Eukaryota; Metazoa; Chordata; Mammalia; Rodentia; Muridae
Gene name: splicing factor YJU2 pseudogene
Exons: 1
Source: RefSeq, a predicted model, not a curated record